UGCGACCCCAGGUCAGGCGGGGCUACCCGCUGAGUUUAACU
RNAcentral lists this ribosomal RNA (41 nucleotides) under Rauvolfia serpentina (serpentwood). RNAcentral describes it as "partial 28S ribosomal RNA". The record is from RNAcentral. Lineage: Eukaryota; Viridiplantae; Streptophyta; Magnoliopsida; Gentianales; Apocynaceae.